This is an RNA transcript of Mastomys coucha (southern multimammate mouse), 1281 nucleotides long. It is a transcript of the gene named heat shock cognate 71 kDa protein pseudogene, with no coding region annotated. The record is from RefSeq and is a predicted model, not a curated record. NCBI's taxonomy places the organism in Eukaryota, Metazoa, Chordata, Mammalia, Rodentia, Muridae. The transcript has 2 exons.
CAGCUGCCAGGCACUUGUGCGGUCUCGUCGUCAGCACAGCCGGGCCUACACGCAAGCAACCAUGUCUAAGGGACCUGCAGUUGGCAUUGAUCUUGGCACCACCUACUCCUGUGUGGGUGUCUUCCAGCAUGGAAAUGUGGAAAUAAUUGCCAAUGACCAGGGUAACCGAACCACGCCAAGCUAUGUUGCUUUCACGGACACAGAACGAUUAAUUGGGGAUGCGGCCAAGAAUCAGGUUUCAAUGAACCCCACCAACACAGUUUUUGAUGCCAAACGUCUGAUCGGACAUAGGUUUGAUGAUGCUGUUGUCCAGUCUGAUAUGAAGCACUGGCCCUUCAUGGUGGUGAAUGACGCAGACCCUGAUGAAGCUGUUGCCUAUGGUGCAGCUGUCCAGGCAGCCAUUCUAUCUGGAGACAAGUCUGAGGAUGUUCAAGAUUUGCUGCUCUUGGAUGGCACUCCUCUUUCCCUUGGUAUUGAAACUGCUGGUGGAGUCAUGACUGCCCUCAUCAAGCACAAUACAACCAUUCCCACCAAGCAGACACAGACCUUCACCACCCACUCUGACAACCAGCCAGGUGUACUGAUUCAGGUGUAUGAAGGUGAAAGGGCCAUGACCAAGGACAACAACCUGCUUGGGAAGUUUGAGUUUACAGGCAUACCUCCAGCACCCCGUGGGGUUCCUCAGAUUGAGGUUACUUUUGACAUUGAUUCCAAUGGCAUCCUCAAUGUUUCUGCUGUUGAUAAGAGCACAGGAAAGGAGAACAAGAUCACCAUCACCAAUGACAAGGGCCGCCUGAGUAAGGAGGAUAUUGAGCGCAUGGUCCAAGAAGCUGAGAAGUAUAAGGCUGAGGAUGAGAAGCAGAGAGAUAAGGUUUCCUCCAAGAAUUCACUGGAGUCCUAUGCCUUCAACAUGAAAGCAACUGUUGAAGAUGAGAAACUUCAAGGCAAGAUCAACGAUGAGGACAAACAGAAGAUUCUUGACAAGUGCAAUGAAAUCAUCAGUUGGCUGGAUAAGAACCAGACUGCAGAGAAGGAAGAAUUUGAGCAUCAGCAGAAAGAACUGGAGAAAGUCUGCAAUCCUAUCAAUACCAAGCUGUACCAGAGUGCUGGUGGCAUGCCUGGAGGAAUGCCUGGUGGCUUCCCUGGUGGAGGAGCUCCUCCGUCUGAUGGUGCUUCUUCAGGCCCCACCAUUGAAGAAGUGGAUUAAGUCAGUAGAGAGGGUGUAGCAUUGUUCCACAGGGACCCCAAACAAGUAACAUGGAAUAAUAAAACUAUUUAAAU